RNAcentral lists this transfer RNA (71 nucleotides) under Marmota monax (woodchuck). RNAcentral's name for it is "tRNA.Ala". It matches the Rfam family "tRNA". From Rfam's summary of the family: Transfer RNA (tRNA) molecules are approximately 80 nucleotides in length. The record is from RNAcentral. Lineage: Eukaryota; Metazoa; Chordata; Mammalia; Rodentia; Sciuridae.
GGGGAUGUAGCUUAGUGGUAGAGCGCUUGCCUAGCAUGCAUGAGACACUGGGUUCAAUCCCCAACACCACA